RNAcentral lists this microRNA precursor (100 nucleotides) under Pan troglodytes (chimpanzee). Its description in RNAcentral is "miRNA (ENSPTRG00000046544.1)". The record is from RNAcentral. Lineage: Eukaryota; Metazoa; Chordata; Mammalia; Primates; Hominidae.
UGAGGCAGGAGAAUUGCUUGAACCCAGGAGGCGGAGGCUGCAGUGAGCCAAGAUUGUGCCACUGUACUCCAGCCUGGGUGACAGAGUGAGACUCCAUCUC